Molecule: ribosomal RNA, 497 nt
Filed under: uncultured bacterium
Lineage: Bacteria
Description: partial 16S ribosomal RNA
Rfam family: Bacterial small subunit ribosomal RNA
Source: RNAcentral
GAUGAACGCUGGCGGCGUGCCUAAUACAUGCAAGUCGAGCGAACAGACGAGGAGCUUGCUCCUCUGACGUUAGCGGCGGACGGGUGAGUAACACGUGGAUAACCUACCUAUAAGACUGGGAUAACUUCGGGAAACCGGAGCUAAUACCGGAUAAAAUAUUGAACCGCAUGGUUCAAUAGUGAAAGACGGUUUUGCUGUCACUUAUAGAUGGAUCCGCGCCGCAUUAGCUAGUUGGUAAGGUAACGGCUUACCAAGGCAACGAUGCGUAGCCGACCUGAGAGGGUGAUCGGCCACACUGGAACUGAGACACGGUCCAGACUCCUACGGGAGGCAGCAGUAGGGAAUCUUCCGCAAUGGGCGAAAGCCUGACGGAGCAACGCCGCGUGAGUGAUGAAGGUCUUCGGACCGUAAAACUCUGUUAUUAGGGAAGAACAAAUGUGUAAGUAACUAUGCACGUCUUGACGGUACCUAAUCAGAAAGCCACGGCUAACUACGUG